UGUACCCUCAAGCACUGCUUGGUGUUGGGCGCUUGUCCCGCAGCGGACUCGCCUGAAAGCGAUUGGCAGCCAACGCACUGGUGGUAGAGCGCAGCACAAUCUUGCGACUCUCCCUUGCGCGUCGGCGUCCAUGAAGCCUUUUCUCAAC
RNAcentral lists this unclassified non-coding RNA (148 nucleotides) under uncultured Pyrenochaetopsis. Its description in RNAcentral is "sequence contains ITS2". The record is from RNAcentral. Lineage: Eukaryota; Fungi; Ascomycota; Dothideomycetes; Pleosporales; Cucurbitariaceae.